AUUGAACGCUGGCGGCAGGCCUAACACAUGCAAGUCGAGCGGAUGAAGGGAGCUUGCUCCUGGAUUCAGCGGCGGACGGGUGAGUAAUGCCUAGGAAUCUGCCUGGUAGUGGGGGAUAACGUCCGGAAACGGGCGCUAAUACCGCAUACGUCCUGAGGGAGAAAGUGGGGGAUCUUCGGACCUCACGCUAUCAGAUGAGCCUAGGUCGGAUUAGCUAGUUGGUGGGGUAAAGGCCUACCAAGGCGACGAUCCGCAACUGGUCUGAGAGGAUGAUCAGUCACACUGGAACUGAGACACGGUCCAGACUCCUACGGGAGGCAGCAGUGGGGAAUAUUGGGCAAUGGGCGAAAGCCUGAUCCAGCCAUGCCGCGUGUGUGAAGGAGGUCUUCGGAUUGUAAAGCACUUUAAGUUGGGAGGAAGGGCAGUAAGUUAAUACCUUGCUGUUUUGACGUUACCAACAGAAUAAGCACCGGCUAACUUCGUG
RNAcentral lists this ribosomal RNA (484 nucleotides) under uncultured bacterium. RNAcentral describes it as "partial 16S ribosomal RNA". It matches the Rfam family "Bacterial small subunit ribosomal RNA", at positions 30 to 507 of the family's 1533-position model. The record is from RNAcentral.